CUUCCGAGUUCCCUGGAACGGGACGCCAUAGAGGGUGAGAGCCCCGUCUGGUUGGACACCGAUCCUCUGUAAAGCUCCUUCGACGAGUCGAGUAGUUUGGGAAUGCUGCUCUAAAUGGGAGGUAUAUGUCUUCUAAAGCUAAAUACCGGCCAGAGACCGAUAGCGCACAAGUAGAGUGAUCGAAAGAUGAAAAGAACUUUGAAAAGAGAGUUAAACAGUACGUGAAAUUGUUGAAAGGGAAGCGCUUGUGACCAGACUUGGGCUUGGUUGAUCAUCCGGGGUUCUCCCCGGUGCACUCUUCCGGCUCAGGCCAGCAUCAGUUCGCCCUGGGGGACAAAGGCUUCGGGAAUGUGGCUCUCUCCGGGGAGUGUUAUAGCCCGUUGCGUACAUACCCUGUGGCGGAGCUGAGGUACGCGCAUC
This 420-nucleotide unclassified non-coding RNA is filed under the name Fusarium sp. TK1-14. RNAcentral describes it as "sequence contains 18S rRNA gene, ITS1 and 5.8S rRNA gene". It matches the Rfam family "Eukaryotic large subunit ribosomal RNA", at positions 177 to 605 of the family's 3401-position model. The record is from RNAcentral. Lineage: Eukaryota; Fungi; Ascomycota; Sordariomycetes; Hypocreales; Nectriaceae.